MicroRNA precursor from Mustela putorius furo (domestic ferret), 99 nucleotides. The record is from Ensembl. Lineage: Eukaryota; Metazoa; Chordata; Mammalia; Carnivora; Mustelidae.
GUGGACCAGCUUGCCCCAUCUGGAAGACUAGUGAUUUUGUUGUUGUCUCACUGAGUCCAACAACAAGUCCCAGUCUGCCGCAUGGUGCCGGCCACCGCA